RNAcentral lists this ribosomal RNA (174 nucleotides) under Apiomorpha minor. RNAcentral's name for it is "partial 18S small subunit ribosomal RNA". It matches the Rfam family "Eukaryotic small subunit ribosomal RNA", at positions 41 to 199 of the family's 1831-position model. Lineage: Eukaryota; Metazoa; Arthropoda; Insecta; Hemiptera; Eriococcidae. The record is from RNAcentral.
AGAUUAAGCCAUGCAUGUCUCAGUGCAAGCCGUCCGCUAUUUGUUUAGUACACGGUGAAACCGCGAAAGGCUCAUUAAAUCAGUUAUGGUUCCUUAGAUCGUGCCCACGUUACUUGGAUAACUGUGGUAAUUCUAGAGCUAAUACAUGCCGACAGAGUUCUGACCAGCGCCAAG